AACGCACAUUGCGCCCCUUGGUAUCCCGAGGGGCAUGCCCGUUCGAGCGUCAUUAUAACCCCUCAAGCCUAGCUUGGUGUUGGGGCCUGCUGUUACCGGCAGCCCUUAAAAUCAGUGGCGGUGCUAUCUGGCUCUAAGCGUAGUAAUACUUCUCGCUACAGGGUCCCGGUGGAUGCUUGCCAUCAACCCCUAAUUUUCUAUGGUUGACCUCGGAUCGGGUAGGGAUACCCGCUGAACUUAA
RNAcentral lists this unclassified non-coding RNA (241 nucleotides) under uncultured fungus. Its description in RNAcentral is "sequence contains ITS2". The record is from RNAcentral. Lineage: Eukaryota; Fungi.